RNAcentral lists this ribosomal RNA (253 nucleotides) under uncultured bacterium. RNAcentral's name for it is "partial 16S ribosomal RNA". It matches the Rfam family "Bacterial small subunit ribosomal RNA", at positions 524 to 776 of the family's 1533-position model. The record is from RNAcentral.
UACGUAGGGGGCAAGCGUUGUCCGGAUUUAUUGGGCGUAAAGAGCGUGUAGGCGGCCAGGUAGGUCUGCUGUGAAAACUCGAGGCUCAACCUCGAGAUGUCGGCGGAAACCAUCUGGCUAGAGUGCGGUAGGGGAGACUGGAAUUCCUGGUGUAGCGGUGAAAUGCGCAGAUAUCAGGAAGAACACCAAUGGCGAAGGCAGCUCUCUGGGACGGUACUGACACUGAGACGCGAAAGCGUGGGGAGCGAACAGG